AAUAGUGGAAAAACUAUCUUGACGUUAUUCAAUGAAUAAGCCCCGGCUAACUAUGUGCCAGCAGCCGCGGUAAGACAUAGGGGGCGAGCGUUAUCCGGAAUUAUUGGGCGUAAAGGGUGCGUAGGCGGUUAGGAAAGUCUAUAAUUUAAUUUCAGUGCUUAACGCUGUCUUGUUAUAGAAACUACCUUGACUAGAGUUAGAUAGAGGCAAGCGGAAUUCCAUGUGUAGCGGUAAAAUGUGUAAAUAUAUGGAGGAACACCAGAAGCGUAGGCGGCUUGCUGGGUCUUGACUGACGCUGAGGCACGAAAGCGUGGGUAGCAAACAGGAUUAGAUACCCUGGUAGUCCACGCCGUAAACGAUGAGUACUAAGUGUCGGGAUAAAACUCGGUACUGAAGUUAACACAUUAAGUACUCCGCCUGAGUAGUACGUACGCAAGUAUGAAACUUAAAGGAAUUGACGGGACUCCGCACAAGCGGUGGAUCAUGUUGUUUAAUUCGAAGAUACACGAAAAAUCUUACCAGGUCUUGACAUGCUCUGCAAAG
This 543-nucleotide ribosomal RNA is filed under the name 'Croton sp.' ash yellows phytoplasma. Its description in RNAcentral is "bacterial SSU rRNA". It matches the Rfam family "Bacterial small subunit ribosomal RNA", at positions 452 to 998 of the family's 1533-position model. Lineage: Bacteria; Bacillati; Mycoplasmatota; Mollicutes; Acholeplasmatales; Acholeplasmataceae. The record is from RNAcentral.